Molecule: ribosomal RNA, 266 nt
Filed under: Callococcus pulchellus
Lineage: Eukaryota; Metazoa; Arthropoda; Insecta; Hemiptera; Eriococcidae
Description: partial small subunit ribosomal RNA
Rfam family: Eukaryotic small subunit ribosomal RNA
Source: RNAcentral
CUGGUUGAUCCUGCCAGUAGUCAUAUGCUUGUCUCAAAGAUUAAGCCAUGCAUGUCUCAGUGCAAGCCGUCCCGUACGGUGAAACCGCGAAAGGCUCAUUAAAUCAGUUAUGGUUCCUUAGAUAGUACCCACACUUACUUGGAUAACUGUGGUAAUUCUAGAGCUAAUACAUGCCGACAGAGUUCCGACGGGCGGCGUGUGUGACGGUGGUCUCGCGGCCGCUGUCCCCGUCGUUCGGCAGGAACGCUCUUAUUAGAUCAAAACCG